This 261-nucleotide long non-coding RNA is filed under the name Oryza brachyantha (malo sina). Its description in RNAcentral is "long non-coding RNA (OBRA_LNC001543)". The record is from RNAcentral. Lineage: Eukaryota; Viridiplantae; Streptophyta; Magnoliopsida; Poales; Poaceae.
CGCCUAGAUCUGGCGGAGGAAUCAGCCAGCGAGUCAAAGGUGUGGUUCUCGUCCGAUGGCGCGUGGACUGCGUUGGUGGAAUGGAAUGGAAUGGAUUUUUUUGCCUUGGGGGAAGAGGCGCCUCACAGCGGCUUGUGUAUCCGUCGGGGCGGUGAUGAUUGGGGGGACGAGAUGGCGAGGAUGCGGCGGAGGAGGGGGAGAUGCAACGGAGGCGGCUCCGCCGGCGGCGGCGGCGGAGGCGGUGGUUUGGCCCUUGGGAGG